AUUUUUAUUGUUUAUAAGAUAUAACACCUUAUAUGGUAAUACAUGUUUUACAAGUUUGUGUAUUAGUUCCAAGCGUAUAAUUCAACAAACGAUUAAUAACAAUUAAAUGCCGUUUUCCUUAUAAUUCAGCUAGAUGGUUGUGUGCGAUAUAUGACGUGGUAUGAUAAUGAGCGGAUAAAAAAUUAUGCGAACAUAUCUUUAAACUAUUCAGGUAUUCCAAUUGUGAAUUAAGAAUGAAACAUCAAAAAUCGAUACAUUACGGAAAUAUAUAUUCUAUUCAUCUAUGAAACAGCUAUAGAGACUUGUCUUGUAAACUUUUUUCGAAACAUGUUUGUGUUUUGCAUAUAUUACAUCUCGUUCGCUGGAUAUUGAAUAAACAGUUUAUAUGUUAUUGUUGUAUACAAUUAAAAAAAAAUUGAAUUAAAACAUUUUGAGUUAUUAUAUUUUUCAUAAUAAUUUAAGACGUUAAGUUUUCCCUGCAAGGUUGGUGUCAAUAAUGGUGCAUGCAUAUGUGCUAAUUAAUUUACGAUAUUUUGGAUAAACUGUGGUAUAAAUUUGGUUUGAAAAGAGCGUUGACAAUAAGACUGUUGUUUUAAACGUAGAUGAAAGGCAUUUAUCGGUUUUGUUAAAUUUAGUUUCGUCAUAGUUAAAUGCAUUUUUAAAGAUUAGGUACUGUAAUGAUAACAAAAGUAGACCGGAUUUAUUUGCAAUAUAAGUCAUUUUGUUUUCGUGAUAGUUUUUGUUCUUGUUUGGUGGCCUGUUGGCUUGAUGUGUAAAGACAUUUUGCUUUUAUGGUGUUUGGCCGUUUUUUGAAUGCCAGUUAACAUGUGUAAUUUGCUUAUCGUUUUGGUGAAAGCCAGUUGACCAGAUGUGGAUAAACCCAGUUAGCGCGUGUAGUUUGUUAAUCAAAUUUUUUAAAACGUGCGUUUACAUUUACAUUUUUGUUUUUAUUUAAUGUUAAGAUUGUACUGUUCGAAGGAUAUUAUAUAUAUUGGAGAGCAUUAAAUGUAUGUUAUUAAGGGCCAGAUUGGCUUAUGUAAAUUAACCGGUUGGCUCGGGUUGUCCGUUGACAGUUUGUUGAAAGCAGAUUUUUUUCAGAUGCGUAUAAGCCAGUUUGCUUGCGUGUCAGUUCACAAAAAUGUCUCAAAACACAUGUUGAAAUUGCAUUUACACAUGUUUGCGAAGUUUAUUUUUUCAGAAGCUGGACAGUUCGAAGAAUAAAUAAUGAAUAGUGUAACAUUAUAGUAAGAGGGCAGCUCGAAAGUGCAGUAACUGGACAGUACGAAUGGUAUAUUAAGUAUUGGAGAACAUAAAGUUAAAACACAGUUCGAGAGGUAUAUAACGUGGUGGAGAAUAUUUAGGUAUUCAUUUUUUGUUUUAUAUUAUUUGUAUUCUCUCUUUGUUUUAUUCGAAAGUCCUGUCAAAUACAAGCACUCACUCCUAUUUUGUCUUUGGUUUAUUAUUUGUUUGAUAAUGAUAAUGAUGAUGAUAUGGGUUAUAAAGAUGAUGAGAUUUUAAUAGUAUUUUG
Molecule: long non-coding RNA, 1528 nt
Organism: Dreissena polymorpha
Lineage: Eukaryota; Metazoa; Mollusca; Bivalvia; Myida; Dreissenidae
Exons: 3
Source: RefSeq, a predicted model, not a curated record